CUGUCACCGCCUCGCUGAUGUGCGACGGAGUCCGUGGUGGUGCCAGAGAGUUUUCAGACGUCCAUCGCACCGUGCGGAACUGACAAUCCGCCCGGCCCUAACACGGGAGAGAACGCUGAGCGUUACAAC
This is a regulatory RNA element of Corynebacterium halotolerans, 129 nucleotides long. It matches the Rfam family "atpB RNA". The record is from Rfam. NCBI's taxonomy places the organism in Bacteria, Bacillati, Actinomycetota, Actinomycetes, Mycobacteriales, Corynebacteriaceae.